GUUGUCGUGGCCUAAUGGUUAAGGUGAUAGACUAGAAAUCAUUUGGGAUCCGCCCGCGCAGGUUCGAAUUCUGCCGACAACG
This 82-nucleotide transfer RNA is filed under the name Dreissena polymorpha. It matches the Rfam family "tRNA". Rfam says of the family: Transfer RNA (tRNA) molecules are approximately 80 nucleotides in length. Lineage: Eukaryota; Metazoa; Mollusca; Bivalvia; Myida; Dreissenidae. The record is from Rfam by way of RNAcentral.